This 1048-nucleotide ribosomal RNA is filed under the name Methanomicrobiales archaeon Methan_07. RNAcentral's name for it is "bacterial LSU rRNA". It matches the Rfam family "Archaeal large subunit ribosomal RNA", at positions 1933 to 2987 of the family's 2987-position model. The record is from RNAcentral. Lineage: Archaea; Methanobacteriati; Methanobacteriota; Methanomicrobia; Methanomicrobiales.
UAGUAUAGUCACUGAUUCCUGCCCAGUGCGAGUAUCUGAAUACCGGGUUCAACCGGACGAAGGACUCGUAAACGGCGGGGGUAACUAUGACCCUCUUAAGGUAGCGUAGUACCUUGUCGCUUAAUUGGCGACUUGCAUGAAUGGAUUAACAAGAGCCCUACUGUCCCUAACACGAAUCCGUUGAACAUUUCAUCCUAGUGCAGAGACUAGGGACUCCAGAUGGGAAGUGAAGACCCCGUGGAGCUUUACUGCAGCCUGUCGCUGUGUUACGGUAUUCCUUGCGCAGCGUAGAUGGGAGGCGUCGAACCAUCCCCUCCGGGGGGUGGGGAGCCACCAAUGAGACACCAUCCUUGGUUUACUGUAACACUAACUCAAACUUGAGGACAACGGUAGGUAGGCAGUUUGGGUGGGGCGCCACACCCUCGAAAAAAUAUCAAGGGUGCCCUAUGGUCAACUCAUGUGAGUCAGAAACUCACAGGAGAGUGUCAAGAGCAUAAGUUGGCCUGACGCGAUUACGCAAAGCAAGUAAUCGCGAGAGGAAACUCGGGUCUAACGAACCAAUGAGCCUUAUUGAUGAGGGCCAUUGACGACAGAAAAGCUACCCCGGGGAUAACAGAGUCGUCGCCGGCAAGAGCACAUAUCGACCCGGCGGCUUGCUACCUCGAUGUCGGUUCUUUCCAUCCUGGCCGUGCAGCAGCGGCCAAGGGUGAGGUUGUUCGCCUAUUAAAGGGGAUCGUGAGCUGGGUUUAGACCGUCGUGAGACAGGUCGGUUACUAUCUAUCUGGAGUGUUUGGAGUCUGAAGGUAAGAUGGAAAUAGUACGAGAGGAACUUUCCGUCGUCGCCUCUGGUCGAUCGGUUGUCCGACAGGGCAAUGCCGAGCAGCUACGCGAUAAGGGAUAAAAGCUGAAAGCAUCUAAGCUUGAAGCCUGACCUGAAAAGAGACUCCGUUGAGGACAUGGGUAAAAGACCCGCUUGAUAGGUCCGGGAUGUAAGCAUGAAGGCAACGACAUGUUCAGUCCGCGGAUACUAACGUCCGAUGCCUUCCGC